RNAcentral lists this long non-coding RNA (1400 nucleotides) under Oryctolagus cuniculus (rabbit). RNAcentral describes it as "lncRNA (ENSOCUG00000035840.1)". Lineage: Eukaryota; Metazoa; Chordata; Mammalia; Lagomorpha; Leporidae. The record is from RNAcentral.
AAGGAGUGAGUGGGAGUGGCCCUGGGCACAGGUCCCAACCCCCAAGCUAGGACUGACUGGAGAGGGUUUUUACAGGGAAGGACAAGUUCCCAUCCUUGGCAGGAGGGCGGGCGCCUGGAUGGAAAUCCUGUCCCCUGCUAGGCUUGCCCCACCCUCCUGGCCUUGGCCAUCUGCGCCAGGCUCCCUCAUCAACAGGUCCAGGCUGGACCUUUAACUGAAGGGAGCCCUUUGUUGAGACGGGAAACCCCUGCCUGGGGGGGGGGGGGGAGUCCUGGGGCUCCCACUGCUGCCCGCAAGAGCCUGGGCAGGUUGCCACACCCAAGCCAAUGCAGGGGCUCCAUCCAGCCACCCGCAGGUGUGCACCCCACAAGGACCAGGGUUUGUCUGCACUGCGUUCAUUAAAAUAAACUGCCCGCAGCAGUAAGGUGGUCAGGUCUUGCUGAAUGAAUGCCUGUGUAGUGCCUGGGACAAGGCAUCAUGUGGUGUUCACGUAUUUCAUGCUAUUUUUAAACCAGCGAGUCUUACACGGUGUUAGGGCCUGGGUGUGACUGUGAAUGCAGCCUGGGAGAGGCACUUCAGGGAGGGUGAGCGUGGGGCUCUCUUUCCCCGACCCACAGCAGUCUCGGUACCUCUCCGGUGCUCCCCAACCCCCCAAAACACCAAGGCAAAAGAAAAGGAAGGAGGACACUUCGAACCAGAGACAACUGAAUUAACUUUAUUCUCUUCUAACUGCAGAUUCAAGAAACACUGAAAUUACAAAGAAACGCGGCAAUCUACACAAAACGAAGGCAGAUGCGGAAAGCUGCAACUUUGAGUCAACUGCUCGGGCAGGAGAACGGCUAAGACUGGCAAGCAGACCAACUGGGGGCGGGGCGAGGAUGGCACACACAGAACUGGGAGGGCCGGGAGGCGGGACGGGGGCGGGAGAGAGAGAGUGGAGGAAGGAAAAAGAUAGAGACAGAGGUGGAGGUGCAUUUGUACAAAAAGGAACCAGUAAAAUUGAAGAAACAAAAUUGGGCAACCUCCUAAAAUUAGGCUAAGAGGAGGUGCUGAGGUAGACAAUUACUAGAACGUUGAUGAAUUAAAAACACUAUUCUGUAAUACAGAGCAAUCGGACUGGCACUUGUGCUGUCACGACGUAAGACAAGCCACAGAAACAAACAAGAAACAAAACGAAAACAAAAUACCCAGACCAAAAGGCUUAGUUUUGCUUGGUCCAGCAGGGCCGCAGGGCCCUCAGUGCUAUAAUUUACAUACAUAUAUAUAUAUUUAUCUUUAUCUAUGGGGGUCGGAUGUCAUGGUGCACCACCACGGCUUCGUAACCUCACGAGCAUCAUGCAUCACACUAUGCGAACGAACUCUAUGAUACACCCAGGAGGCAGGGACCCUGUCUGCCCCAC